UACGGAGGGUGCAAGCGUUAAUCGGAAUUACUGGGCGUAAAGGGUGCGUAGGUGGUUUGAUAAGUUAACUGUGAAAGCCCUGGGCUUAACCUGGGAAGGCCAGUUAAGACUGUUAGACUAGAGUAUGGGAGAGGGUAGUGGAAUUUCCGGUGUAGCGGUGAAAUGCGUAGAUAUCGGAAGGAACACCGGUGGCGAAGGCGGCUACCUGGCCUAAUACUGACACUGAAGUACGAAAGCGUGGGGAGCAAAC
This 250-nucleotide ribosomal RNA is filed under the name uncultured bacterium. Its description in RNAcentral is "partial 16S ribosomal RNA". It matches the Rfam family "Bacterial small subunit ribosomal RNA", at positions 524 to 773 of the family's 1533-position model. The record is from RNAcentral.